AGCAGCCGCGGUAAUUCCAGCUCCAAUAGCGUAUAUUAAAGUUGUUGCAGUUAAAAAGCUCGUAGUUGAAUUUCGGGAUCAGUACGUUGGUCGUGCCUUGGUACGUACUGGCGUCACUGGUUCCUACCUUCUGACGAACCGUCAUGUCAUUAAUUUGGUGUGGCGGGGAAUCAGGACUGUUACUUUGAAAAAUUGAGUGUUUAAAGCAGGCUCGCGCUUGAAUACAUUAGCAUGGAAUAAUGAAAUAGGACGUUCGAUCCUAUUUUGUUGGUUUCUAGGAUUGACGUAAUGAUUAAUAGGGAUAGUUGGGGGCA
This 314-nucleotide ribosomal RNA is filed under the name uncultured Glomeromycotina. Its description in RNAcentral is "SSU rRNA". It matches the Rfam family "Eukaryotic small subunit ribosomal RNA", at positions 569 to 890 of the family's 1831-position model. Lineage: Eukaryota; Fungi; Glomeromycota. The record is from RNAcentral.